This 253-nucleotide ribosomal RNA is filed under the name uncultured bacterium. Its description in RNAcentral is "partial 16S ribosomal RNA". It matches the Rfam family "Bacterial small subunit ribosomal RNA", at positions 524 to 776 of the family's 1533-position model. The record is from RNAcentral.
UACGUAGGCAGCGAGCGUUGUUCGGAGUUACUGGGCGUAAAGGGUGUGUAGGCGGUUGUUUAAGUUUGGUGUGAAAUCUCCCGGCUCAACUGGGAGGGUGCGCCGAAUACUGAAUGACUAGAGUGCGGGAGAGGAAAGUGGAAUUCCUGGUGUAGCGGUGAAAUGCGUAGAUAUUGGGAGGAACACCAGUGGCGAAGGCGGCUCACUGGACCGGAACUGACGCUGAGGCGCGAAAGCGUGGGGAGCAAACGGG